Long non-coding RNA from Octopus sinensis (East Asian common octopus), 362 nucleotides. RefSeq lists it as uncharacterized. The record is from RefSeq and is a predicted model, not a curated record. Lineage: Eukaryota; Metazoa; Mollusca; Cephalopoda; Octopoda; Octopodidae. The transcript has 2 exons.
CCCAUUUCCUGUUUUGAUGUCCUAAACUAAACACGUGGAUCUAAUCUCACUCCAAGCGUCGAAGAAUUCCACGAUGUCAGCUGCUGUUCCAAUAUAAACCAAGAGAAGCUGCGAGAGUUGGUCGUGGGUGAGUUUCCCUUUGGGAAGGAGCCAGCGUCCAAGAAUGAGCAGGAGCAGGAGGAACUGUUCCAAAGUGCGGAUCCAUUGGUCGGAUGAAAGCCUUAACGGAAUGUGGAUCUCAAACUUCAUCUGCCCAACAUAACAAAAAAUAAUAAAAAAUAUGAUUAUAAAGACUGCCAAUGCUCCAGCAUGGCCACAGUGCAAUGCCUAAAAAGAGUAAAAGAAUAAAAAAUGGAUCUGGA